GAGAAAGGUGGUGGGGCUGGAGGGAUGCAACUGCCCCUUUAGGGACACUGACCCAGCCUCUGUGCCCCCAG
Molecule: microRNA precursor, 71 nt
Filed under: Nannospalax galili (Upper Galilee mountains blind mole rat)
Lineage: Eukaryota; Metazoa; Chordata; Mammalia; Rodentia; Spalacidae
Description: miRNA (ENSNGAG00000005360.1)
Source: RNAcentral